GCUCCGGUAUCCCAAUCAGGCAGAGGACCAUGCCUCAGGUGCAUGUCAGUGCUGGUUCGAGUCCGGCCCGGAGUUCCA
This 78-nucleotide transfer RNA is filed under the name Methylobacterium radiotolerans. Its description in RNAcentral is "tRNA-Leu". It matches the Rfam family "tRNA". From Rfam's summary of the family: Transfer RNA (tRNA) molecules are approximately 80 nucleotides in length. Their secondary structure includes four short double-helical elements and three loops (D, anti-codon, and T loops). Further hydrogen bonds mediate the characteristic L-shaped molecular structure. tRNAs have two regions of fundamental functional importance: the anti-codon, which is responsible for specific mRNA codon recognition, and the 3' end, to which the tRNAs corresponding amino acid is attached (by aminoacyl-tRNA synthetases). tRNAs cope with the degeneracy of the genetic code in two manners: having more than one tRNA (with a specific anti-codon) for a particular amino acid; and 'wobble' base-pairing, i.e. permitting non-standard base-pairing at the 3rd anti-codon position. The record is from RNAcentral. Lineage: Bacteria; Pseudomonadati; Pseudomonadota; Alphaproteobacteria; Hyphomicrobiales; Methylobacteriaceae. RNAcentral also lists the same sequence under 1 other name.